Molecule: long non-coding RNA, 2778 nt
Filed under: Portunus trituberculatus (swimming crab)
Lineage: Eukaryota; Metazoa; Arthropoda; Malacostraca; Decapoda; Portunidae
Description: uncharacterized LOC123508888, transcript variant X4
Source: RNAcentral
AUUUUGGGUUUUUAGAGGUGUUUUCGAUCUGUUUUAGUAAGGUUUUAAGGUGUUUUGGGUAAAUAUUGAGUGCUAGAAGUGUCUUUUGUGAGUAUUUUGGAUGUUUUAAGUGUGUUUAGCAGUAUUGCAGGGUGUUUUAAGUGUGUUUAGCAGCGUUGCAAGGGGAUUUGAUUUUGAGUGUGUUUAGUAGUGUUGCAGGGUGUAUUGAGUGUGUUUAGGUGUUGCAGGGUGUCUUGAGUGUGUUUAGCAGUGUUACAGGGUGUUUUGAGUGUGUUUACCAGUGUUGCAUGGUGUUUUGAGUGUGCUGGGUAUAUAUAGAAUGUCUUUUAUGAAACAUUUGAGAUUGUUUAGUGUGCAUUAGAUAUUUAAGUUGUAUUUUUACGUAUCUUGACUGUGUUGUGUGAUGUUUUGUGUGCUUUUCAAGUGUUGUGGUGUGUUGAAGGAAAAAUCCUUUAUAUUUAGUGGUCUCCCUUACAGUCUUGCCAUUCUUUGCAAUGUUAGGUGCUGUAAGUGUAUUCUAGUGUGCAUUUUAGUUGUUUUGAGUGUUCAGCAGCGGUGCAGGGUGUCCUAAGCAUGUGUUGGGUAUAUACUGACCCUAGUAGAGAUGGAGACGAGUAAGAAAAGGUUAAUAGAGAGAUUUAUAGUGCGUUGAUUCACAUGCCGCUCAGUACGUGGCAAACCUACCUCUCCUUGUUGGUGCAUUGAGGUGACUGGUGGUGGUAAGAAAAUAAGGAAUAUCUAGAAAAAAAAAAGAGAAAGAUAUCAAUGAAAUUAGAUCGUAUGGAUUAUUAGUGGUAGUAACGGUAGCAACUGCAACUUUGAGUCAACCGCCACAUAUGCCCCAGCUGAUCUCAAGACCCCUAGUAGACCCCCAACAGACCCAUGUAAAUUGUAGAGUCGGAGGUUAGCCUUUGCAACGCCCCUCCCCCUGAUGUGGUUUCCUCACUUUCGUUGUAGGUUUAUAUAUUUUCUCUUUUUCUCACAAUGAACUUUUAUCUAUAUUUUCCUUUUUUUCAUUAUCAUUUGUCCUAUUUUUUUCCUUUUCUUUUUGUAUCGACUGUUAGUUGUUUUAGCUAUAUUUCUCCUAUUUUUCCCUUUUUUUUUUCGUUAUCAGCAUUUUCCUCUAUCCUCCUUUGCUUUCACUCAACUGUUUUCCCAUAUCCUCCUUUCCUUUCACUAUCAACUACCAACUUCAUAAUUUUUUUAACAAUCAACUUUUAUCAAUUUUCUCCCUUUCUUUCAUCACCAUUUUUUUUUUUUUCAUAUUUUCUCCUUUUCUUACUCAGCAUCAUCACCAUCAGCAACGUGAGGUGUUGAUGGUGAUAGUGAGGCAAGCUUCUUACUGUUCCGGCACUGACACGACACACUGACAGGCUGGUGUGAGGGUGAGGGUGUCUUGGUGUAUCUACCUGUGUGUCACCUGCGCCACUAACAACGAGCGAUGUUUCUGGUGGUGGAACUCUGCCGCUCCUAGGAAGUGAUGGUGGUUCCUGAGUCAUGGACCAGUGGAAGAUGGAACAGCAUAUAUACUUUUGCCACCCUACCAGUCCGCUAUGCAGCUGGAGAGCGCCAUCUGCUCCCAGGAGGCCCCCGGCGAGGAGUGGGUCAGCCAUUCUAGUCAAACCAUCCACACAGCAGACUUUCGACAUGGCUUGAUGCAGCACAAUCCAAGUUUUGCAGCAGUGGAUCGUCAGUAACAACUCUGUGGCAGUGCGUCGCUCCGAGAGGCUCAAGAGGAGGACCAACCCCGUUCAGCCUCCUAAUGACACUCCAGCAGGUGUGGCACCCAGGGAGCCUCUACCACCACCACAACCUGUACGGAGAACCCUCAAGUUGCGUCAAUUCCAACCACCACCACCAUCACCACCAUAGCGUACAAGAAGGUCACAGCGCCCACAGCCACCAUCCAUGCGCAGGUCACAGCACCCACGACCCAAACCUUUGUUGCCAACCUCCCGCAGAGUGGUGGUGGCCAUGGGUCGGCUUCACAAGUCCCUGUGUGGAAUUGCCUAAUGUCGCAGACAAACAGAUUCAGUACCUUGGUGUCACGCUACCCCUGAUCAACGUUUUUCCUGAUCAACGUUUUUAAGAAUUAUGUGGUGCAGCACUCGGAGAUCUUGAACAGGAUAAUGGAGAAGGUGCCGGCCUCACCAACUGCCAGAGCUGCUUAUGCAAGUCAUCCUACAGUUUGUGGAGAGUGACCGAGGUAGAGACAGUGGGGAUGAGGAAGAGGAGUCCACCGUUCCAAGAGAGGAGUGAGGCAGUGUUGACUCAUCCAGCACCGGUGUGGGAUCUAACAAGUGGGAGAAAAUAUUUACUUCACGAACAAAGCUGCCAUGCCAUCCACUAUGCUACAGGGAAGACAAGAGGAGCCACUCUGUGCAUGUUAUGACCCCAGAGUUCCCCGGGACGUCCUGCCACUCCCCAGGAUGGAAGAGUUUCAUGUACUGCAUCAGAAUAUAAACAGUGAAUCCAAAGUUAAAACCAUUACUUUACAAUAUAAUCUAGUAAUAAAUAAACAUUUUUUAAGCAAUUUGUCUUUUUUUUUUUUUGGAUGCUUAUAUUCACUAACCCUUUGACUGCCUUGGUGCACCUUUUCCCAACAACUGAUAACAGAAAUUGCUGCUGCUUUCAAAAAUAGGGAUUAAACUAGAUGACUCACAGGCAAUACACAGAUAUUCACCUUCAGAAACAAUGUAUUCCUUGCAUCCCAGUGGCUUGUCCUCUCAAUCUUCCUGCUUCACAAAUCCACUUACAUAACAUUCUCACAAGACAUGC